RNAcentral lists this ribosomal RNA (776 nucleotides) under Porphyrio madagascariensis (African Swamphen). Its description in RNAcentral is "partial 16S ribosomal RNA". It matches the Rfam family "Bacterial large subunit ribosomal RNA", at positions 848 to 2497 of the family's 2925-position model. The record is from RNAcentral. Lineage: Eukaryota; Metazoa; Chordata; Aves; Gruiformes; Rallidae.
GCUGGUUGCCUGUGAAAGAAUCUAAGUUCCCCCUUAAUUUUACGCCCAAAGAAAAACUCAACCCACUCUCCCGUACUAAAUUAAGAGCAAUUUAAAGGAGGUACAGCUCCUUUAAAAAAGAAUACAACCUCCCCCAUAGGAUAAGCACCUACUUCACCCAAUUGUAGGCCCUCAAGCAGCCACCAAUAAAGAAUGCGUCAAAGCUCUUCACCCUUAAAAAUCCAAAAACACACGCGACUCCAUCCCCCGCAACAGGCUAAUCUAUCAUAAAUAGAAGUACUAAUGCUAGAAUAAGUAACUAAGGAAUAACCUUCUAAAGCACAAACUUACAUUACACAUUAUUAACAGGCACACUAAUACCCCAAUCACCACAAGAUCAAGUAUUUAAUACAACACUGUUAAACCAACCCAGGAGUGCCCAAUUAGAAAGAUUUAAACCUGUAAAAGGAACUAGGCAAACCCAAGGCCCGACUGUUUACCAAAAACACAGCCUUUAGCAAACCAAGUAUUAAAGGUGAUGCCUGCCCAGUGACACAAAGUUCAACGGCCGCGGUAUCCUAACCGUGCAAAGGUAGCGCAAUCAAUUGUCUCAUAAAUCGAGACUUGUAUGAAUGGCUAAACGAGGUCUUAACUGUCUCUUACAGGUAAUCAGUGAAAUUGAUCUCCCCGUGCAAAAGCGGGGAUAGACCCAUAAGACGAGAAGACCCUGUGGAACUUAAAAACCAGCGACCACUAUAAACCCAACAUAAGGCCUAACAGGCACACUGCCAGAAACA